Molecule: ribosomal RNA, 423 nt
Filed under: uncultured bacterium
Lineage: Bacteria
Description: partial 16S ribosomal RNA
Rfam family: Bacterial small subunit ribosomal RNA
Source: RNAcentral
GAAUUUUGGACAAUGGGCGAAAGCCUGAUCCAGCAAUGCCGCGUGCAGGAUUAAGGCCUUCGGGUUGUAAACUGCUUUUGUACGGAAAGACAAGCUUUGGGUUAAUACCCUGGCGUCAUUACUGUACCGGAAGAAUAAGCACCUGCCACCUACUUGCCCGCAGCCGCGGUAAUACGUAGGGUGCAAGCGUUAAUCGGAAUUACUGGGUGUAAAGCGUGCGCAGGCGGUUGUGUAAGACAGAGGUGAAAUCCCCGGGCUCAACCUGGGAACUGCCUUUGUGACUGCAAGGCUAGAGUACGGCAGAGGGGGGUGGAAUUCCGCGUGUAGCAGUGAAAUGCGUAGAUAUGCGGAGGAACACCGAUGGCGAAGGCAACCCCCUGGGCCUGUACUGACGCUCAUGCACGAAAGCGUGGGGAGCAAACA